UGCCAGACUCCUACGGGAGGCAGCAGUGGGGAAUAUUGCGCAAUGGGCGAAAGCCUGACGCAGCGACGCCGCGUGAGGGAUGAAGGUCUUCGGAUCGUAAACCUCUGUCAGCAGGGAAGAACGGUCACUGUGCUAAUCAGCAGUGAAUUGACGGUACCUGCAGAAGAAGCCCCGGCUAACUACGUGCCAGCAGCCGCGGUAAUACGUAGGGGGCGAGCGUUAUCCGGAUUCAUUGGGCGUAAAGCGCGCGUAGGCGGCCUGUUAGGUCGGGGGUCAAAUACCGGGGCUCAACUCCGGUCCGCCCCCGAUACCGGCAGGCUUGAGUCUGGUAGGGGAAGGCGGAAUUCCCAGUGUAGCGGUGGAAUGCGCAGAUAUUGGGAAGAACACCGGCGGCGAAGGCGGCCUUCUGGGCCACGACUGACGCUGAGGCGCGAAAGCUAGGGGAGCGAACAGGAUUAGAUACCCCCGUACUA
Molecule: ribosomal RNA, 473 nt
Filed under: uncultured bacterium
Lineage: Bacteria
Description: bacterial SSU rRNA
Rfam family: Bacterial small subunit ribosomal RNA
Source: RNAcentral